Long non-coding RNA from Humulus lupulus (European hop), 979 nucleotides. RefSeq lists it as uncharacterized. The record is from RefSeq and is a predicted model, not a curated record. The transcript has 3 exons. Lineage: Eukaryota; Viridiplantae; Streptophyta; Magnoliopsida; Rosales; Cannabaceae.
UAUACAUUUUUUAUUAUAAAUCAGAGUUUUAAUACAUAAAAUGUACAAGUUUACAAAUUUAAGAAAUAGUAAUGGAAAAAUAGUGUUUAAAAUAUCAUUUUAUGUUUUUAAUGAGAUUAAAGAGAGAGAAACUUGAGUAGUCAAGUAUUGGACCCGAAUGUCAUAUAAUUUUAAUUGGGGAUUUUUAUAAAAUUAAGAAAGUUUUACUAAAGGACUUAUUUGAAAAGAAUUUUAGUAUUUUGGGUCCAAGUGUAAUUUAAAAAAAAAUAAUAAAUAAAUAAAAUAAAAGGCUUCAGCCUUUCUUUUUACCCGAGCCCCUCUCUCUCUCUCCUCAGAAACUCUCUCUCUCUCUCUCUCUCUCUCUCUCUUUCUCUCUCUCUGCGCGUUACUGUUGCCGACGACGCAGGAGUACUUUCCGGCCACCACUUUUAGCCACGCGCCGGACCGUUGGAUUCAGAGGCCUCCGAACUAUCGACCUACGCGGGAAUCUAGAGCUCACUCGCCGAUUAAACGCCUCAACCACUCGAUUUAAGUUCGGCCACCCCGCGACUUCAAAGUUGCGAUUCAGCCACCUCGGGCAUCCGUUUGCCGAUCCGUCACCACCAUCGUGUUCCUCGUGUUGUGGGCUUCAAAACCCAAUAACUUGUUCCUACAUCUAUCAUAGUUGGGUGGUGGGCCCACCACGAGCCACCGCGAUCCACCGUAGACCGACGGUCGAAACUUAGUGUUCGAGGUUCCGAAGUACGUUUUGAGUCUCAGAAAAUCAUCGUUUGACUUGUUGUGGAACCCGAUCAUUUUGGAUUUGUAUGGAUUUGAUUGAUUGACUCUUGGUGAGGAAUUUUAAAAUAAGCUAAGGACCUAAGGUGUGGCUUUAGCUGUUGAGCAACUUGUGGAGCACGGACUCAGUAGCAAUGCAAUAAUGGUUUAGAGUUUUCAUAUGGCUGCCUUAAAUUUAAAGUAUUCAUACGUGUAAUAAUUU